UUUACCUUAACAAAUAUUGGUUGAUUUUUAUCAAUAUUUUUUAAAGAUGAAUAAAAGGAAAUGAAUUCGAAAAAAGACAAAAAUGUAAGUGCUAUUAUAAAGCCGAAGAUCUCAUCGAUUCAGUUUAUUUUGUUUUAUUACUUUUAAAUUUAAUUCUAGUAUACCGCCUAGUUUAUUCGUACGACAACGGUAAUACCAUUAAAAUAUUGCAUUCUUCAAUUUGUGUAUUUUGAAUACGUAAACUUAUGCUACUUUUUACUAUAUUUCUACUUAUUUCUCGUUUAUAUGCAAUGACUAUGACCCUUUGCAAAUUAUUUUUAGAAUUUACUUUAUUUCUAGAACCAAUCUUCACGACGUCGCGUUGUGGCCGACCAGUCAUGAUAGUCGGCCGACAUCGGUUUAACCAAUACAAUGUAAUCGGGCUCAGGGGCAGAUGGGUUUGCGUGAAGCAGACAAGUCGUCGCUGCCGCGCCUCGAUUCGCACUUACGACAAUCAAAUUAUAAACUACAAUGACUGCCACUCACAUGACGGAUAAAGAAGGCAAUCUUCACGCUAUCCCAGCGCGGCAAGCCAGUAGUACUCCUGGACGGACAGCGGUACAACCUCAACUACUCGUCGUGCGACAAGCUGAAGAGGACCUGGGUUUGUGCAAAGCAACAUUCGCAUGGAUGUCAGUCCUCGAUUAAUACCCACGGCGACAUUAUUAUACGGAUAAGAUAUGGACAUCGACAUUAAUCUGCUUAUUAUUAUAUCUGCCGAAAGAUGUAGAUACGAUGUAGGUACGAUUAGCGUGUUAAAAUUCGCUUAAGUAAUUCCAUUAUAUUGUGGGAGCCUUCUUUCCAAAGAGCAGUGACGUAUUAAACAUUAUAAGGAUAUACUUAAAAAAUAAAAAUACAAGGAAAUAUUAAACGUAUUGGUAAAUUUACCAAAAUGCUUUAUUAUUUAAAACAUUACCUACCUGUAAAGGUAUGCCUUUGUAUUUCAUAGAUUUAGUUAUGUAUUUGGGAACAAUAAAGUUAAAGUUUGUCGUGUAAUUAUGUAUUACUAUUUCGUUAAGAUACUUUGUACCUGAAAUACAUAAUGUAUAGUUUAUUUAUUGUAUGUAAGUUUAUGGUCGUAUGUAAUUACUUUGAUAAUUUUCACAUUUAAUAUCCAUUUAUUAGAAAUAAUAUAAAAGAAAAAUAAGGAAGAAUCGUGUAACAUAUCGGUAUUUAUUUAUAAUCCUCCCCUCUAAUAUUUAUUUAUUUGUUACCCUUCACCUAUCCCUAGAACUAUGUGUUAUAUUUCAGCCCUACAGCCCCUACAAAUAUUUAAGCAGAUUGACUUAAGUAGAAAUUGAUUGGGAUUGAAGACGGUUUUCUUAAUAACCAUAAAGAUACAAGUUAAAACCCGGCUAGGUGAGGCGACUGCAGACGCAUCACGACUGGUUUCUAUGUAUUUUUAUGAAAUACCAUUCGAACUUAGCGACACCAAAGCAAGCGACACGAAGCCAGCUACACGCAGAGCAGUAGAACCGCUAACGUCACGAAGUUAUAGAUAAGGCGCCGCGAUAUGCAGUCGGCUUCGAAACUAACACAGCGACAUGAAGUCUGCAGUUGUCGUCUGCGGUCGCGACACGUCACCCGGUUUCAAUGUGUACCUUAAGUUUAGUGCCCUGAGUAUGUAUAUAUCCAAUUUUGAAUACUUAUUAAUGAAAAAAUAUUUCCCAGGUCCUAUUAUAUUCACGCAAUCUAAAUACGGAAAGCCUGCGAUCAUAUACCAACAGCACCGAUUCAACAGGGACUACCGGAGCACAGGGCCGAAAAUUGUUUGGAGAUGCAGGAAAACACGGGAGUGCAAGGCCAGGAUAAUAACCAUCAACAACAGUAUCGUUUCUGUCUACAAUGAACAUUUGCACUAUGUAUACAAUGAUCAAAUUACAAAGAAACAAAUAUAAGCCAGCGAUCAUGUACCAACAGCACCGAUUCAACAAGGACUACCGGAGUACAGGGCUGAAAAUUGUUUGGAGAUGCAGGAAAACACGGGAGUGCAAGGCCAGGAUAAUAACCAUCAACAACAGUAUCGUUUCUGUCUACAAUGAACAUUUGCACUAUGUAUACAAUGAAAAAAUUACAAAGAAUCAAAUAUAAGCCAGCGAUCAUAUACCAACAGCACCGAUUCAACAAGGACUACCGGAUUACAGGGCCAAAAAUUGUUUGGAGAUGCAGGAAAACGCGGGAGUGCAAGGCCAGGAUAAUAACCAUCAACAACAGUAUCGUUUCUAUCUACAAUGAACAUUUUCACUAUUUAUACAAUGAUCAAAUUACAAAGAAACUAAUAUAAGCCAGCGAUCAUAUGCCAACAGCACCGAUUUAACAAGGAUUAUCGAAGCACAGGGCCAAAAAUUGUUUAGAGAUGCAGGAGAACGCGGGAGUGCAAGGCCAGGAUAAUGACCAUCAACAACAGUAUCGUUUCUGACUACAAUGAACAUUUGCACUACGUAUUAUAUUAUGAUAAAAUAAUAAAGAAACAAAUACAUGCCGAUGAUUAUAUACACAUCGCACCGAUUGAACAAGGAAUACUGGAUCAUAUGAAAAUCACAGUACAAUCGACCUAAAAAAUGUCACAUUGGAAUAAAAAAUAGUACAGAUAAAGGGAGCGGAACCAUGAUUUAAAAUUGUACUAGUCGCGAUCUUUUAUUUACGUGUAUAAUUUAUAUAUCUAAAUGUAAAAAUAUAUGUUAUUUGGAUUGACAUAUAUGAUCGUCACUUAUUAUCCAAUGUAUACAAAGUAGCAGUCAUUCACGCAUGUACAACUCAUACCCUUUGCAUUAAACGACACGUUAAAUAA
This is a long non-coding RNA of Cydia pomonella (codling moth), 2830 nucleotides long. RefSeq lists it as uncharacterized. Lineage: Eukaryota; Metazoa; Arthropoda; Insecta; Lepidoptera; Tortricidae. The transcript is spliced from 2 exons. The record is from RefSeq and is a predicted model, not a curated record.